UGGAUGAAUGAUGACCGGUGUUCAUGUAUGAGUCUUUCAUGAUGAAUCCUACGGGUCUGGAACUCUGAGGUCCAA
Suricata suricatta (meerkat) is the source of this 75-nucleotide small nucleolar RNA. The record is from Ensembl. Lineage: Eukaryota; Metazoa; Chordata; Mammalia; Carnivora; Herpestidae.